UUUUUUUUUUUUGGGCUUUUUAUCCUUAUAAAAUGCCAACAGUUACCUUUUCAUUUGUACAUGAAAUAGGUAAGGAUUCUGAAUAAAGUGGGUGAGCCAUAGUGUAAGGCCUGGUGCAACCCAAUGAGUACAAAUAAUUUCACAAUGAUGCACAAAGAUAUAUCAAAUUUAAGCACAAUAAAGAAAACUUAAUUAAAGAGAAAAGAUAAGAAAUGCAAACCAAAUAUCAAUCCAAUAGCCUCUUCAAUAGAUGGCGAUGCUAACCAAAAUGUACAAGUGAAGGCUCACUCCUUCCUCACCCCAAACACUCUUUGGUUGAGCCAAGGAGUUUUACAACUAUUCUAGUUAACCCUCAACAACCUACACUUGAAAGAUCACUCACCCAAUUAAGAACUAUUUUAUACAAAUGAGGCAACCUUCACCAAGGUUUUACCACUUCAAGUGAUAGGUUCACCUUCACCAAGGUUUUACUCCUCCUAGAGAGUAACCUUCACUUGAGCAACUUCACAACCCAACUUCCCAACCCCUUAUACAACCAACAAAGAAUCUUUCUACUCAAAAAUCUCACUUGUAAGCUUGUAUUUUGUGUUGGCAAAAGUCCCUUGUCUUCUUGUGAUUUUGGGUGUUUAUAGAAGGUGAGAAAUGGUUCCAAAAGACUCUCCAACGGUCAAAUAUUAAAUGCUGUCAAAACUAGCCGUUGGCCUGUCGGACGUCCGAACCACCUGUCGGACGUCCGAUCCCUGCGUCCAAACCACCUGUCGGACGUCCGAACCCUGCGUCCGAACGUCGUCAGAGAGUCAUCAAAUCUUUGCGAAAUUUCUCGUACGUCCGAUGCGAUCGAUGUGCGUCCGAGGCGUGCGUCCGAUCCUUCCGGACGUCCGAUGCUUCCUCACGAGCGUCCGACAGAUCCUUUCGGACGUCCGAUAGCUUCCUUUCGGACGUCCGACAUGAGUGCCCUGUUUUUGCUUCUUCUUUUGUGCCACAAGAAUCUGUUCUAACAAAUUGCUCACAUAAAAACAUUAGUCCAAAUCUACAUUUUGGUUUGUUAAUCAUCAAAACCAAGGAUUGAUCGACCAAGGUCAACAAUCUCCCACUUUUUGAUGAUGACAAACAAAAUGAAGAUUUCUUUUAUCAAAUAAAUUCAAAUAAAGCUCCCCCUUAGAAAGUGCCAACAUACAAAGAAAUUUCAAUAAAUCCUACUCCCCCUUUUGGCAUCAAUCAAAAAAUAAACUCCCCUUUUAUUUUUCAAAUCAAGACCAUAUUGAAUAUCAAAAUUUUCAAAUGUACUUACAACCAUUUAGCACUUCUUGGAUCAAAUCUUCAUGAUGUACCUAAAUAUGAGAAAUUUCAUUUGGUACCCUUUCUUUAUAGGGUCCUUGGGAGUUAAUACGACAUGAUCUAGCAAUCCACAUGGAUUUCAUGCCUUUUCUCAUAUUUUUCUUUACAUAGCAAUCAUUUUGCAUAUGUCCAAAUUUGCAACAAAAGUGACACAUGAUAGAAGUAUUUUGCACAUAAGUGGAUUUAAUGCAACUAAUUCCCUUACCUCUUAUCAUAGCAAACUUAUUUGUGCCUUGAAAAGAUUUUCUUUCUUUUGUUUGAGAAAACUUUUCUUUUUCAUUUUGGAGAAACUCGUUCAAGUCAUUAAUUCUUUUCUUUAACAAAUUUUGUUCCUCCAACAUUUUUUCAUAAAACUUUGUUUUCUCUUCCAACUUCUUUUUCAAAUUAUUUUUGCAAUCAAAAGCCAUUUUACAUUUCUUCAAAUCAUCAUUUUCCUUUUUCAAACAUUUGUUUUCUUGAAAAAGAUUGGAGUUUUCUUUCAACAAAGCAUUUAAUUUUGUUUUCAAAUCUUUAUUUUUAGCAUAAGAUUUUCUCAAACUUUUAUGCAUUUUAAUCAUAAGAAUUUUCACAUCAUCAUCUUCAUUAUCUUCAUCACAAGAAGAGUGACAAGAAUUUACCUCAUCUUCUCCAAAGGCCAUUAGUGCCAUUUGUGCCAACUCUUCUUUUUCUCUUUUUGAAUUGCAUUCAUCCCAUGUAAUUUUGCAAUCUCCUCUUGAACUUCUCUUGUUGAAGAUCUUCUUGAAUCUUUUGAUGUGAGGAGUUAUAUCAUUGUCCACUUCCAUGUUUUCAUUACCCAUGAAGGAUGGGUUAUCCCCCACUUGAAAUGCUUUAAAAGCUAUGCCUCUCUUAUACAUUCUUGCAUUUUCUUCCUCUUGCACUUUGAAUUUCAGCUUUAAUUCAUAAGAGGUUAGGGAAUUCACAAGAGAUUCAAUGGACAUAGAAUUUAAAUCAUUUGCCUCUUCUAUAGCAUUUAUUUUGUUUUCCCAUUCUUUUGGCAAGGCAUUCAAAAUCUUUCUAUUUUUCUCACCCAAAGAAUAUUCUUUUCCAAGCAAUUUAAGAUCUUCAAUAAUGUCACCAAAUCUACUACACAUCUUAUCAACAUUUUCAAGAUGAUGCAUUUUGAAAAAUUCAUAUUGAGAAACAAGCAAAGAUUUCUUUUGUUCUUUAAUAUCUUGGUUACCUUCAUGAAAUACACACAAUUUAUCCCAAAUAUCUUUAACUGAUUUACAACCUUUAAUCCUAUUAGAUUCAUUUACAUCUAAUGCAUUGUACAAUAUACACAUGGCCUUGGCAUUCAAAGAAAGGUAUCUCUUGUCUUUUUCAUUCAAUUCUUGUCUAGUCUUUAAUCUACUCAAAUUAGUGGUAGAGUCAACUAUUCUAGCUUCAUAAGGACCAUCUUCUACCACAUACCAUAAUUCAAUAUAAACGGAUUGUAAGAAAAUCAUCAUUCUUUGCUUCCACAUGCUAAAAUGAGAACCAUUAAACAUAGGUGGUCUAUCAAUAGAUUGCCCUUCUAAAAAGGAAACUUUUAUGGUUGCCAUGAUCUUUACUCUAAGCGGUUAAACUUGAUCAAAAGAGACCAAACUCUGAUACCAAUUGUAAGGCCUGGUGCAACCCAAUGAGUACAAAUAAUUUCACAAUGAUGCACAAAGAUAUAUCAAAUUUAAGCACAAUAAAGAAAACUUAAUUAAAGAGAAAAGAUAAGAAAUGCAAACCAAAUAUCAAUCCAAUAGCCUCUUCAAUAGAUGGCGAUGCUAACCAAGAUGUACAAGUGAAGGCUCACUCCUUCCUCACCCCAAACACUCUUUGGUUGAGCCAAGGAGUUUUACAACUAUUCUAGUUAACCCUCAACAAUCUACACUUGAAAGAUCACUCACCCAAUUAAGAACUAUUUUAUACAAAUGAGGCAACCUUCACCAAGGUUUUACCACUUCAAGUGAUAGGUUCACCUUCACCAAGGUUUUACUCCUCCUAGAGAGUAACUUUCACUUGAGCAACCUCACAACCCAACUUCCCAACCCCUUAUACAACCAACAAAGAAUCUUUCUACUCAAAAAUCUCACUUGUAAGCUUGUAUUUUGUGUUGGCAAAAGUCCCUUGUCUUCUUGUGCUUUGGGGUGUUUAUAGAAGGUGAGAAAUGGUUCCAAAAGACUCUCCAACGGUCAAAUAUUAAAUGCUGUCAAAACUAGCCGUUGGCCUGUCGGACGUCCGAACCACCUGUCGGACGUCCGAUCCCUGCGUCCAAACCACCUGUCGGACGUCCGAACCCUGCGUCCGAAUGUCGUCAGAGAGUCAUCAAAUCUUUGCGAAAUUUCUCGUACGUCCAAUGCGAUCGAUGUGCGUCCGAGGCGUGCGUCCGAUCCUUCCGGACGUCCGAUGCUUCCUCACGAGCGUCCGACAGAUCCUUUUGGACGUCCGAUAGCUUCCUUUCGGACGUCCGACAUGAGUGCCCUGUUUUUGCUUCUUCUUUUGUGCCACAAGAAUCUGUUCUAACAAAUUGCUCACAUAAAAACAUUAGCCCAAAUCUACAUUUUGGUUUGUUAAUCAUCAAAACGAAGGAUUGAUCGACCAAGGUCAACACAUAGAGAAAUGAAUAGUAUGUGAGAAUUUAACUUAUGAUUUCAUUAUAAAUUAUGUGACCAUAUCUAAGGUAAGGAAUUUGAAUAAAGUGGGUGGGUGGUUCUCAGGAAAUGAAUGGUAAGUGAAAAUUUAACUCAUGAUAUUAAUUAUAGAUUGUGUGUCCACAUCCAAACACCAUUUCAAGAUAAUUUAUUUUGAAACCAAAUAUAACAAUAAAAUCAUCAAUCCCAACAGAAUUUGUCAUCCUAAGCAACAAUUAAGUAGCGGAUACUAGAAAUAUGUUAUAUUAUAUUGAUUUAGCAACUCAAGUAAAACAAAAACAAAAACGAGUAACUUAGCAAUUUAAUAAUCAAAUAAUGGUGAAAGUUAAAUACCAAACUCAUAGUUGGGGCCCAGAUUAGUCGAGUCUAAUGUAGUCAUCAGACACCAGGUUUACACACACAAAAAAAAAAGGUACCUAUACUAUUGCUAGUAAUUAAUCAAUUAUGUCCCGCUGAAAAAGCCUUGAUCUAAUGGUUAAUCGAGAGUUUCUAGAAAUUAGAAGUUCUGAUUUUAAAUGCCCUACUCGCUUAUCACUUCUUAAGUCUUACCCCUCCAUUGCUAAAAAGAAAAUAAAAAAUAAAAAAUCAAUGCAGUCCUAUCAUUUCUUGUACUUAAAUUCUGGUAACAAGGGUUGAUUAGGAAGAAUCGAAUUUAUUAGGGAAAUGACAGCAUGUGCAAGAGUUGGAUAGUUGUUAGUUUUGUGAUAGGAAUAGAAAUUGUGGUCAUUAAGGAGGAAAGUUGGAAAGAAAUUGAGGUUAUUAAGGAGCUAUGGAGUUUCUAAAUCUUUUAAAAUAAACGGUUAAGGUAGAGGUGACAAAACCAUAUAUAAAAGGUUGGAUUGUUAGAAAGAGAUAAAGAGUUCAAGGAAAUCGAACCUUAAACAUUUUCAUAAUUUUCCUCAAGCUUUAACUAAGCAUCACUUGAAGAUUAGCAAGCUUUCUAAAAUUUUGAACAGUUUUAAGGAUGACCUGGAUUGAGCUUUUCUUUCAUGUAAUUAAAAUCAUUAUAUUAUCUGCAGCAUCUGAAAGGAGAACAGGCAUAUUGUUUUUCAUGCAAACAUAGCUGCAACCACCAUAAUGUCGAAUGCUCAACGUGUUAGAAACAAUUUGCGUAGUAAUUAGUUGCAGCAUAAUUAUUCGUUUUGACAAUUUUUAGCUAAUUUUGCUGUCCAAAAAUGGCUUACAUCUAUUUAGAAGAUUAAUCAUACACACACCACAGCCAAAAGCAAAGUACUUUCCUACGACCUGUUUCAAUGAAAGGUCAAGCUGUCAGACCCAUAACCGGUUAGAUCCCAAGUGGGGUAAAAACAUCCUGUAAGUGUAGCCAGAUUUACUCCCCCAACAUUUCACCAAGGAUUUAGGAAGGCACUGCAACAAAAGAAGCAAGGACAAGCACAUCAGAUUGGUUCCAAUUGGAAAAAUGGAACAUUUUAAAACCAAAAAAGAAGCAAGAAUUCUUAGUUUUCAACCUGCAAUUAAUUCUACACCUAAUUCUGUACAAUAACAUGCUGAUGCAGACAAUUCAUAACUUUGCUUGCAAACAAUUUUGCAACCGGAAAAUCUCCAGUAGACCACCUCAUUUAAGCAACUCUGAAACUGUCUCAUUAAAGGGAUCUACCUGAGCCAAUUGAGCUGCCAAGGCUCUGCUGGGCAGGAAUAGAUUGUCAGCUUUCAUUCUGUUGUAGAACCCAUAAACAGGAGCCGUGGCUUUAAUAUAGGCCUGAACAAGUGGUUGGUACUGUCGGAUAUGGGUAGAUACCCCACCUUUCUCAUCCUGUGGAACAGUUUCUCAGUUUUUUGUACAUCACCCCUCUCUGCAUAGUGAUCCAUAAUGGUCAUGUAAGAACUUAACAUUGGCUUCAUUUGAUUCUGUUCUGCAACCUUCCGUAAAAUGGUGUCAGCCUUUUCAGCGUCACCAGCAUCAACUAGAAACUUAACAUGCGUAUCCCAAGUCAGUGGCCCUAUAUGGCAGUUACUAUCGGCCAUCUGCUACACAAGAUUCUUUCCUUUGUCCGACAAUUUGUGAUUUGCAUAAACUCCCAGUAGAGCAGAACAAUGCUUUGAGGACAGCUUACUCCAUGCUGUCAACAAAGUAUCAAACACUGCUUCUGCUUCUUCAAUUUUGUUUAGCUUUCCCCAAGCUUCAAUGGCUACCAAGCAUUCCAGAGGCCGUGGUAUAGAUUCACAAAUCUUCAAGAUUCUUUCCACUUCAUUAGAUUUUCCAAGGGCUGCAUAUAUAGGAAGUAAAGAGCGGUAGGCCCAACGAUUUUUCUUUACAUUCAUCUCCACAGAUUCUCAGCUCUCUCUUUCAGCCCACUAGAGAUGUAAUGCUUAGCUAACAAGUCUUUUAUAGUAAAAUCAGGUUCUAAACCAUCAUCCUUCAUUGUCUCAACUAUGUUCUCCAUGCCAGUGAUGUCAUUUGAUUGACCUUUGACAUCUAUCAAUUGUUUGUAUGUGAAUAGAGAAGGCUUUACCUUAUCCUUCUCCAUCAACAAUAGAACAUCAGCAAUUUUCUUCUUGUCUGACCUCUUAUACAAAAAAAGCAACUGAUUACAAGCAAUGUUUGUAAUUGGGAAUCCCAGAUCCUUCAUCUCAUUGAAAACCUCCUCAGCUUUCUGCACAUUUCCUACAGGAACACAAUUGGCUAAUAGUGUACGAUAAACAACUUCACCUUGGAAGGAUUUUGGGAUAUUUGCAAUAUAACUUUCUGUCUCCUGAAGACCAUGCACUUUGGCAAUCAAAUCAACAUGAGAAGCAAAAUCUCUCUCACCAAACUCGUGGCCUUCCAACUCCAACGACUCUGAGAACUGUCCAAUGAAAAUAAAUAUGUGAAGUGUAAAUAACUCCAGAAGCACAAAACGAACAUGAAACAGAUCAGGUGAAACUCUAUAAGCAUGUGUGAAUUAGACAUUGUAACAUCUGUACAUGAGUAGUUGUGAAUCUUUCAAGAACAUAUGCUAGUGUUAUCAAGAAGCAAAGUUCCUACAAAAUUGUUGCUGUCCUAUUGGCAUAUGGGAAAAUAGACAUGGAACAUUUGGUUAUAAGCAAAACUUUCUUCUACCAUGUAGUUCAGAACCUCCCAAUAUAUCCAUGUCACUGUCUUGUCUAGCACUUACAGUUAAAACUGGUCCACACAGCUCAACUAAUAGUAUUAACUCUUGGAAGAGUACCAUCUCCCUACAGUUUCACAUAUCUAAGCUCAAGCAUCAGUGUAAACCACUCCAUAUUGGUGGCUCACUGCAUACGUGACAUGCCAUAAACAAACCUCAACCAUACAGGCAAAUAAGAAUGCACUUCAACCAAGAAAUUACCACUUUGCUAGAAUGUUUAUUCUGCUAUUUAACCUCAAAACUAUACAAGCACAAUAUGUGCAUCAUUUGGGGAGAUUGUCCUUAUUCGGAUGAACUAGAAUACAAUAGACUCCCAUGGUUUUCAAGGUUGAGUUCUUAGGAUGCGCACAAUAAAAAUGACAUGCUCAGAGAAAGACAAAAAUUACUACCCAAAUAUCGGAUUAUCUAAAUUCUCCAACCAUUAUUGGACUAAGGAACUCUAAUGACUAAAUAAUCAACAAGAAUUUGGUAUGGUCAAGCAUAGCAUCUUUACUUUCAAAAAGAACAGAAAAGGAAAGAAAAGGACAACCAAAAAGAAAGAAAUAAAAGGGAACUUGGCCAUUGACAGUCAAGGAGAACUUCAGUAUUAAUUUGUUCUAGAAGGAUUUAACAGAACUUAGAGGUUUGGAUGCUAUUGGCUACAAUAUCCAUCUCUUGACCGGUUAUAACUGUGCCAAAACUCACUAGAAUUUCCUAGUCAAAAACUUUCUAACUCAGUUAGCCCGAGAUCCAUUCUUAUUCUGUUUUUAUUUAGACAAAUCAUUGUUUACAAUGACAACAGUAAACCCAUAUGAUGGAUGAAUGAAUCAUCACAACCAUGAGAAUGCAAGGUGUCUUGUCUGAGCAAGCACCAACUUUUUGGUUGACUUAAACAAACCCUGAGAAGAAGCUAGAUAACAGCCUCAUGUUCUAUAACAGACCUAAAGAUGCAAAGAGAGAACUUCCAACCUCCAAAUAGACAGGCAUCAGCUUUCCGCACAAAGAGAGAAAACUCUUUCCAGUUAUGGAAGUCAAUGCCUUAAAGAUGAGGACCUCUCUCACAGUUAAGCACUCAAAAUAUCAAUAUCCAGAGGAAGCCACUAUUGAAAGGGGUACAAGAGUACAUACUAGAUAUCAUAAAGGCUUCAAAAAUAUAUUCUAAAUUCCAAUUUGUUACUUAAGCAGAUUCUACCGCUCUAAUUAUUCUUCAAGUAAGCUGAUUCUCUAUUUUUCCAACCAAAUGCAAUUAAAAUGUUAUCAAUUGCUUCUCAUGUAUUUUUUUCAGCUAAAUGUAAGAUUAUACAAAAUGCUUCUAAGCAUCCAGACACAUCAGAUGCCUAUCAAACAUUAGUGUUUUACAAUAUUUUGGAUAAAUAUAUAGUUUCAAAUUCUUAAAGAGUUUUUUCCAGAAAUUAUGUUUAUUAGGCAACUCUCCAAAAGCUAAAGCACAAGAAACAUCCUCAGAUUAUGACCAUUAAAAUACAGAAACAUAAAAACAGUAAAAUUGAGUGUAGCUAUGAAUAUCAAAAGUAGAAUCAAUUUUGCAAAUAUUAAUGCUGAAUCUGGUAAAUGAUCUACAGCACCACCUAUGAGACUAAAUUACCUCUAAAGCGCUUUCAAACAUCUGUCUCUUGUGCAGAUGGAACGUGGUUGAUGCUAUUACUGAUCGAGUUACUUCAUUUCCUUCUUCAAUCCAGUGGUCUACAACCUCAUGAACAGAUAAAGCUGGAGCAGCCAAUAUGGCCUUGCACAAUACGGAAGAAAGUUGUUUACUGCAGAGUUCUCUUUCCAUCAUCAGUCUCAAUACCAGAUACCCCCAGCUCAUUUUGAGGCUUGGCCUCCCCAAUAUUACCAGCAUCCUCUUCAGAGAGUUCUGAUUCACAGAUUAAAUCAUCCUCAUUUUCAUGAACUGCAUGGCUUUCAUUAAAGAGAUCAGAAGUAGUUGAAGUCCCAAACUCGGUAAACCCAUUCUCCAAGUCACAUCAUCUUGUCCACUACUCUCAGUGCCAGCCUGAGAAGUGAAACUGCGGGUUCCUGAAAGUAAUUUUUGAGAAUCACAACUUGCGUUGAAGAACCAUGUCGGAGACAGAUAUCUACUGGAUAUCAUUUGUUGAGAUCCAGUAUAACCUGAAUUGCAGUUCUCCAAUGCACACCUUGUUGUCUCUAAAUCAUAGCAAAAUAGGGAAAUCCUCGCUCCAAAUCUGUGAUUCCUAGAAGACACGGUAAACUUGAUCAACAAUGAGUACAAACAAAAUACAGUGGACUAUUAAGUAAAUGCAGUCAAAACAAGUAAUCCAGCAAGUUUUCUUUAUGAUCAAAGCCAUUGAAGCUCAACAUGAUGCAAAAGGAAUAAAUAGAUAAAUAAAAGAAAAGCACUAAUAAAAUAACAUCUGUAUGAACCUAUUUUCACCUUUCUACAAGUUAAAAUCCUAAACAGAUACAGCUAAGGACUUUAGGCUCCCAUGUUAGCCCCCCUUCCCCAUAUAAAAAUAAAUAAAUAAAUAACUUCAUGUGCAUUUCCCAUCUAGCACAUUCUUGGUGAUUUAUAUUACACCCUAAUUUAUACUAUCGAUUCAUCAGAUGUGACAACCAACAUCUAUUAUGAAAGGAAAAGUAUUGUAUGCUAAUCCCAAGCAUUCAAUCAAUUUAACUAGCAAGAUCAUGUUGCCUCUAAAGUUGCAGCUCUCUAUACAUGUAAUGGCAUUAGAGGACAUCACUUUGCAGUAAUAACAGAGAACUCAUCCAUAUUAGGUGAAAAUGCCUUGUACUUUCUGCAUCCACAUUUUGGGGGCACAUUACAGGUUUAUAGGAAAAAUUCUAGUUGGAUCAACCGAACCUCCUGCUUCAUUAAAAAAUUUACUUUUUUCAGUUUCUCUGAUCAAACCAGAACUUAGCAAAGAACCAUGUAUAGAAUCCACAUUUUUCUUAAGCAGAAAAGUUCAAUUAAUCAGAUAUCCGCUUAUAAAUAUAAUGCAAGAUUAGAGCACUAAUGGUGAUAACAAAAGUGUACAUUCUUGUUCUCUCAUUCUAAAAAGGAAUAUUAGUAAGAUAAUAACAUCUAACCAAAAUCAAAAUCCAGAAGGAAAAUAGUCUGACUAAGAAAUUGCGGCAACCUAGGAAUUUAUUUUUAUCAGUGAAAGUACAUUCCUUCCAUUUCUUCACAUAAUUUAUCUUCUUUUUCAGAAAUGGACAAAAAGAAGGGGGGAAAAAACCUUUUGUCCCAUCUCCAACUAUUACUAGUUCCAGCUUCUAUCAUUCCAAAAAUCCUCUCCUAAAUUUGUUUUUCUUUCAAAAACCAAAACAAAAAUGCCACCUUGAAAAUUACGAGUUAAAUUGCAGAAUCAACUCUAUGGUUGCAAUCAGAGUCCACACAUCAAAACACACAUCGUAAAUAUUCUUCAUAAAGGGUUGAAAAAAGGGGAAAACAAACCAAAAUUUCCUAAAGAAAAGGGCAUUUCUUGAGCCCUUUACUACCCAUGAAAGGAAAAGCAAAAAGAAAAAAUAAAGGAAAACAUGUAAAAGAAGUGAAAAAUGCAUAGAUGAAGAAAAGGGAAGAUUACCGGAAAGGAUUAAAGGCUCGACGAAGAGACAACAUCAUAAUGAUUUCUUUCUUCUCUUCGGCCUUGAUCUUUCGAGGGCUGGCACAUGUAGAAAUGAGUAGACUGUGAGAGAGUGUGUGUGAGCAAAAGCGUGGAAUCUUGAUAAUGCUUAAACCCUGCGAAAAGGGGAAGAAAAUUAGCGCCACUGAUGAACGUGUACAUUGUCGAAGAGAAAUAUCAAAUUUCUCAACUGAUUUUCAUAAUCCCCGAUCACUAACAAUAUCAUUUAAAUUCAAUUCCACGCAAGAUUGAUUUUGAACUGGUUCACUAAUAUUAGGCUCAUUUGAAGAUUCACCACUACAGACUCGUUUAGGUUUAAAGAAUCUCUCCAUUUUCUGUCACAAUUAAAUAAUUGUGGUUAAAUUCAAUAAAAUUAUGCAAUUCAAUAAUCAAUUAAUUUAAAAUUCAUAUAAAUAAUUCUUUAAUUUAAUAAUAAAUUCAUAUUACUUAUAUUUCUCAAUUUAUAAAAUUCAUUAUAUAAAAUUAUCAAAAAGUUAAAAUAAGGUACAACUAAAUACCCAUAUAAUCUCUAAUUCAAUCUCAUAAAAUUUUGAAUUUAUAUUUACAUUCAAAUUUCUAAUUCACAUAAUUAAUUCUUAAAAUUUCAAAUAUAAAACUAACAAAAUUUUAAAAACUAAAUACAACCUAAAAUCUAUACAAUUUCUAAACUAAUUUCUAAUUUAAAUUUAAUAUCAUUAAAUUUUUUAAUGUAAUCUUUCAAAUUCUUAAAUUACAUUAACAUAAACUAAAUAAAAAUUAAUCUUAAUCAAAUUAAUAUCAAGAUACUCAAAAUUCAAAAAUAAUUUAAACAUAUAAUUAACAAAAAUAUAAAGAUGAAUAUUGUAAUUUAAACCAAAAAACUAACCUAAAAGAUUUAUGUGAAUGGAAUGGUGGAGAGUUGGAGUCUUGGAGCCUUGAAUUGAAGGCUUGAAGCAGGAUGGUAGAAUCUCAACUGAAGCUUCUUGGAGUUCUUGGAGCCUGGCGUCUUCUUCUUGGAGUUGGAGUCUUGUUUGCCCUUUGGCACUGGCGGCGUGCUUUUGUAUCAGAUGAAGCCCUGUAUUUUUUUUUUCCCCCUCAUUAUACAAAACGACGUCGUUCCACUAAAAGUGAAACGACGUCGUUUUGUAUUUAGAGGGCAAAAAAAAAAAUUCAAAAUGAAAUAGGUCAUCUUCUUCCUCAGCAGUCAGCACGGCAGCGGCUUUCCAGCUCUUCUUCGCUUCCUCUGCAGCAUUCAUGGAGCCAUGGAGGAUGGUAGUCGGUAGAUCUGGAUCACCGUGGGGGGGCUGGGCUGGGCUGGGCUGGCCGCCGGAAUCCCCUAUAUAUAGGGGGUUUUCCGGCGGCUUGGGGGGGGCUUAAGCCCCCACCAACCCCCCUUAAAUCCGUGGCUGUGUACAUACAUAUUGCGCCUUCAUACCCAAAAAAAAAAAAGCUAACUCAUCAACAAUAAAAUGAAUACUAAUAUCAAAUUGUAUUAUAACCAAUACACCUCAUAGGGUUUGGAUCAAACUAUAGAAUCCAAACUCAUUCUCAGGUCCACAUUUAUGUGGAUGGAAAAUGAACACUCUCUAAAUUAUUGAGAAUUUUUUGUUUUGAUUCAUUUUAAUUUGGAUUGUUACUCUAUUUUCAAUGUGAUCAAUUAGAGUUUAGGACUUAUACUUAGGAUAUUUGUAUGCUUGGAAUGGAUUGAACAAGUUUUAUAACCGGUAAUGAAUGGGUCUAAUUGUGAUUUGUGUCCAAAUUGAUGCAUUUGAACAUGUGAUGGACAAAAAUUAGAAAUUCAUCGACUUUGCAAAUCAUUAGGCAAUAAAGGCGAAAUGUGAGAUUUAACUUUUUAUAUUAACUUUUUUUAUUUUAUUUUUUAAUUAAUAUUUUAUACACUGAUAGUGUACACACCAUCACCGUUGGAUGCAUGACAACUUAUCUAAAUUUAAAAUUCAAAUUCAAAUUUUGUUCAUGUAUUAUGUAUCCAACCGUGAUAGUAUAUACACUAUUAAUGUACGUAAGAUUUACUCUUUAUUUUUUAGCAAAGGAAGAGUGAGAUUUACAUGGUCCUCUGGCUUUCUUUCCCUGGUUUACCAGUACCUCUGUCUUCAGUAAACAAUGUUGCAUUGAUCCAUCUAACUCUACUUUGAGGUCAAUCAAUAAUAUUUUACAUUCACAAUUAGCCAACAAUUAACUCGAUUGCCAAGAGGAAAAGGCAAUUUCCAUCACCAUGGGGCCUAGUUGAUGAAAGAGUUCAAAGCAUGAUAUAUCAGUAUCAAGGUGAGUGACUAUUAUUUACACCACAAAUUAUCAUUAACAUGCCCAAAAUUCGUUCAGCUUUGAAGCUAGUUGAUGCAAUGAGAUGAUAUGAUGAAUUAAGUUGAAGAUCAUACACACAAGAAUAACACUACUAUUAUGGCCAUUAUCAGACCUAUUCAUUGUCUCAUCUCCCUUUAUACCAUCUUCCAUUACCUGUCAAGCUGUGAUCCUGCAGAGAUUAUGCAAAU
RNAcentral lists this long non-coding RNA (13136 nucleotides) under Coffea arabica (coffee). Its description in RNAcentral is "long non-coding RNA (CARA_LNC004155)". The record is from RNAcentral. Lineage: Eukaryota; Viridiplantae; Streptophyta; Magnoliopsida; Gentianales; Rubiaceae.